RNAcentral lists this small nuclear RNA (93 nucleotides) under Trifolium pratense (red clover). Lineage: Eukaryota; Viridiplantae; Streptophyta; Magnoliopsida; Fabales; Fabaceae. The record is from RNAcentral.
GUCUCUUCGGGGACAUCCGAUAAAAUUGAAAGAAGAUUGGUAUGACCCCUACGCAAGAAUGACACACACAUAUUUUACACACGCAAGAAGAUU